RNAcentral lists this small RNA (121 nucleotides) under Marmota monax (woodchuck). Lineage: Eukaryota; Metazoa; Chordata; Mammalia; Rodentia; Sciuridae. The record is from RNAcentral.
GCCGGGUGCUGUGGCCCAUGCCUGUCAUCCCAGCAGCUUGGGAGGCUGAGACAGGAGAAUCACAAAGCCAGUCUCAGCAACUCAGCCAGGCACUAAGCAACUUAGAGAGACCCUGUCUCUA